CCUACGGGUGGCAGCAGUGGGGAAUAUUGCACAAUGGGGGGAACCUUGAUGCAGCAACGCCGCGUGGGUGAAGAAGUACUCCGGUAUGUAAAGCCCUGGCAGCAGGGAAGAAAAUGACGGUACCUGACAAAGAAGCCCCGGCUAACUACGUGACAGCAGCCGCGGCAAUACGUAGGGGGCAAGCGUUAUCCGGAUUUACUGGGUGGAAAGGGAGUCUAGACGGCAAGGCAAGGCUGGAGUGAAAGCCCGUGGCACAACCACUGGACUGCAUUGGAAACUGUGUGGCUGGAGUGCAGGAGGGGUAGGCGGAAUACCGAGUGUAGCGGUGAAAUGCGUAGAUAUUAGGAGGAACACCGGUGGCGAAGGCGGCUUACUGGACUGUAACUGACGUUGAGGCUCGAAGGCGUGGGGAGCAAACAGGAUUAGAUACCCUUGUAGUC
Molecule: ribosomal RNA, 440 nt
Filed under: uncultured bacterium
Lineage: Bacteria
Description: partial 16S ribosomal RNA
Rfam family: Bacterial small subunit ribosomal RNA
Source: RNAcentral